CCUACGGGAGGCAGCAGUGAGGAAUAUUGGUCAAUGGGCGGGAGCCUGAACCAGCCAAGCCGCGUGCGGGAAGAAGGUACAGCGUAUCGUACACCUCUUUUGUCAGGGAACAAAGGCGGGGACUCGUCCCCGGAUGCGGGUACCUGAAGACAAAGCAUCGGCUAACUCCGUGCCAGCAGCCGCGGUAAUCCGGAGGGUGCGAGCUUUAUCCGGAUUUAUUGGGUUUAAAGGGUGCGCAGGCGGCCUGUUAAGUCAGAGGUAAAAGCCCGGGGCUCAACCCCGGCGAGACGUUGAAACUGGCGGGCUGGAGUUGGAGAGAGGUACGCGGAAUGCGCGGUGUAGCGGUGAAAUGCUUAGAUAUCGCGCAGAACCCCGAUUGCGAAGGCAGCGUACCGGCUCCACACUGACGCUGAGGCACGAAAGCGUGGGUAUCGAACAGGAUUAGAUACCCCUGUAGUC
This 459-nucleotide ribosomal RNA is filed under the name uncultured bacterium. RNAcentral's name for it is "partial 16S ribosomal RNA". It matches the Rfam family "Bacterial small subunit ribosomal RNA", at positions 338 to 795 of the family's 1533-position model. The record is from RNAcentral.